ACGGAAGGCAGCAGUGGGGAAUAUUGCACAAUGGGGGAAACCCUGAUGCAGCGACGCCGCGUGAGUGAAGAAGUAUUUCGGUAUGUAAAGCUCUAUCAGCAGGGAAGAAAAUGACGGUACCUGACUAAGAAGCCCCGGCUAACUACGUGCCAGCAGCCGCGGUAAUACGUAGGGGGCAAGCGUUAUCCGGAUUUACUGGGCGUAAAGGGAGCGUAGACGGUUCUGCAAGUCUGAUGUGAAAGGCAGGGGCUCAACUCCUGGACUGCAUUGGAAACUGUAGAACUAGAGUGCCGGAGAGGUAAGCGGAAUUCCUAGUGUAGCGGUGAAAUGCGUAGAUAUUAGGAGGAACACCAGUGGCGAAGGCGGCUUACUGGACGGUAACUGACGUUGAGGCUCGAAAGCGUGGGGAGCAAACAGGAUUAGAUACCCUGGUA
RNAcentral lists this ribosomal RNA (434 nucleotides) under uncultured Lachnospiraceae bacterium. RNAcentral's name for it is "bacterial SSU rRNA". It matches the Rfam family "Bacterial small subunit ribosomal RNA", at positions 341 to 792 of the family's 1533-position model. The record is from RNAcentral. Lineage: Bacteria; Bacillati; Bacillota; Clostridia; Lachnospirales; Lachnospiraceae.